This 178-nucleotide ribosomal RNA is filed under the name uncultured bacterium. Its description in RNAcentral is "partial 16S ribosomal RNA". The record is from RNAcentral.
UUUAGAGAUAGAUUUGGGCCUUCGAAGAGUUAUGACAGAUGCUGCAUGUGUUGUUGUCAGCUGAUGAUCGUGAGGUGUUUGGUUAAGUCAGCAAAAGAGUGCAAACCUGGGCGUUACUUUCAAGUGUCUAGUCGCGACAGCCCGUGGCAAACGGGAGGAAGGUGGGGAUGGAGGCAAA